Molecule: small nuclear RNA, 136 nt
Filed under: Octodon degus (degu)
Lineage: Eukaryota; Metazoa; Chordata; Mammalia; Rodentia; Octodontidae
Description: U4 spliceosomal RNA (ENSODEG00000023722.1)
Rfam family: U4 spliceosomal RNA (bases 1-114)
About the family: U4 small nuclear RNA (U4 snRNA) is a component of the major U2-dependent spliceosome. The structure of U4 snRNA from yeast and human has been reported.
Source: RNAcentral
AGCUUUGCACAGGGGCAGUAUUGUAGCCAGUGAGGUUUAUCCGAGUCUCGAUUAUUGCUAAUUGAAAACUUUUACCAAUAUGCAUUAUUUUCUUUUGUCAUACUAUGACAUAGUACUUUGUCUGGACUACAUCGCC